UAAGCGGAGGAAAAGAAACCAACAGGGAUUGCCCCAGUAACGGCGAGUGAAGCGGCAAGAGCUCAAAUUUGAAAGCUGGCUCCUUCGGGGUCCGCAUUGUAAUUUGUAGAGGAUGCUUCGGGAGCGGUCCCCAUCUAAGUGCCCUGGAACGGGACGUCAUAGAGGGUGAGAAUCCCGUAUGGGAUGGGGUGUCCGCGCCCGUGUGAAGCUCCUUCGACGAGUCGAGUUGUUUGGGAAUGCAGCUCUAAAUGGGUGGUAAAUUUCAUCUAAAGCUAAAUAUUGGCCGGAGACCGAUAGCGCACAAGUAGAGUGAUCGAAAGAUGAAAAGCACUUUGAAAAGAGAGUUAAAAAGCACGUGAAAUUGUUGAAAGGGAAGCGCUUGCGACCAGACUCGCUCGCGGGGUUCAGCCGGCAUUCGUGCCGGUGUACUUCCCCGCGGGCGGGCCAGCGUCGGUUUGGGCGGUCGGUCAAAGGCCCUCGGAAGGUAACGCCCCUAGGGGCGUCUUAUAGCCGAGGGUGCAAUGCGACCUGCCUAGACCGAGGAACGCGCUUCGGCUCGGACGCUGGCAUAAUGGUCGUAAACGACCCGUCUUGAAA
RNAcentral lists this ribosomal RNA (597 nucleotides) under Penicillium chrysogenum. RNAcentral describes it as "partial large subunit ribosomal RNA". It matches the Rfam family "Eukaryotic large subunit ribosomal RNA", at positions 47 to 659 of the family's 3401-position model. Lineage: Eukaryota; Fungi; Ascomycota; Eurotiomycetes; Eurotiales; Aspergillaceae. The record is from RNAcentral.